This 304-nucleotide ribosomal RNA is filed under the name uncultured bacterium. Its description in RNAcentral is "partial 16S ribosomal RNA". It matches the Rfam family "Bacterial small subunit ribosomal RNA", at positions 506 to 807 of the family's 1533-position model. The record is from RNAcentral.
CAGCAGCAGCCACGGUAAUACGGAGGGUGCGAGCGUUAAUCGGAAUUACUGGGCGUAAAGCGUACGCAGGCGGUUUGUUAAGUCAGAUGUGAAAUCCCCGAGCUUAACUCGGGAACUGCAUUUGAAACUGGCAGGCUAGAGUCUCGUAGAGGGGGGUAGAAUUCCAGGUGUAGCGGUGAAAUGCGUAGAGAUCUGGAGGAAUACCGGUGGCGAAGGCGGCCCCCUGGACAAAGACUGACGCUCAGGUGCGAAAGCGUGGGGAGCAAACAGGAUUAGAUACCCCAGUAGUCCCUGUCUCUUAUAC